AUCUUUGCUAAUAUGUGAAUUUUGUAAUUGAAAAAAUGAUUAGCUUGUUGUUAACAUCUUUUUCGUUAGUAAAAGAAACAUAUUAAGAAAAUUUUUGGAGGUUUGUGAAAUAUGCAAACAGGUACAGUUAAAUGGUUUAACAGUGAAAAAGGCUUCGGUUUCAUCGAAGUAGAAGGCGGAGACGAUGUAUUCGUACACUUCAGCGCUAUCGAAGGUGAAGGAUUCAAAACUUUAGACGAAGGUCAAAGCGUUGAAUUUGAAAUCGUUGAAGGCCAACGUGGCCCACAAGCAGAAAAAGUUACUAAACUUUAAUCUGUUCACGUUAAACUAAUAAAAACACGCAGCGGACUUCUUAGGGAGAAGCCUUGCUGCGUGUUUUUUU
RNAcentral lists this unclassified non-coding RNA (382 nucleotides) under Listeria monocytogenes. RNAcentral describes it as "cspA". The record is from RNAcentral. Lineage: Bacteria; Bacillati; Bacillota; Bacilli; Caryophanales; Listeriaceae.